UAAAAGAAUGAGAGGCAUGUUAGAG
This 25-nucleotide non-coding RNA is filed under the name Rattus norvegicus (Norway rat). Lineage: Eukaryota; Metazoa; Chordata; Mammalia; Rodentia; Muridae. The record is from RNAcentral.